Molecule: ribosomal RNA, 140 nt
Filed under: Astragalus campylotrichus
Lineage: Eukaryota; Viridiplantae; Streptophyta; Magnoliopsida; Fabales; Fabaceae
Description: partial 18S ribosomal RNA
Rfam family: Eukaryotic small subunit ribosomal RNA (bases 1-101)
Source: RNAcentral
CGCUGCCCGCGACGUUGUGAGAAGUCCACUGAACCUUAUCAUUUAGAGGAAGGAGAAGUCGUAACAAGGUUUCCGUAGGUGAACCUGCGGAAGGAUCAUUGUCGAUCCCUUACAUGCAAACCAACUUGGGAAUUUUUUUG